GAUGAACGCUGGCGGCGUGCCUAAUACAUGCAAGUCGAGCGAACAGACGAGGAGCUUGCUCCUCUGACGUUAGCGGCGGACGGGUGAGUAACACGUGGAUAACCUACCUAUAAGACUGGGAUAACUUCGGGAAACCGGAGCUAAUACCGGAUAAUAUAUUGAACCGCAUGGUUCAAUAGUGAAAGACGGUUUUGCUGUCACUUAUAGAUGGAUCCGCGCCGCAUUAGCUAGUUGGUAAGGUAACGGCUUACCAAGGCGACGAUGCGUAGCCGACCUGAGAGGGUGAUCGGCCACACUGGAACUGAGACACGGUCCAGACUCCUACGGGAGGCAGCAGUAGGGAAUCCUCCGCAAUGGGCGAAAGCCUGACGGAGCAACGCCGCGUGAGUGAUGAAGGUCUUCGGAUCGUAAAACUCUGUUAUUAGGGAAGAACAAAUGUGUAAGUAACUAUGCACGUCUUGACGGUACCUAAUCAGAAAGCCACGGCUAACUACGUG
RNAcentral lists this ribosomal RNA (497 nucleotides) under uncultured bacterium. RNAcentral describes it as "partial 16S ribosomal RNA". It matches the Rfam family "Bacterial small subunit ribosomal RNA", at positions 28 to 507 of the family's 1533-position model. The record is from RNAcentral.